GGAUACACUUAGUGGCGGACGGGUGAGUAACGCGUGGGUACCUGCCUCACACUGGGGGAUAACAGUUAGAAAUAGCUGCUAAUACCGCAUAAGUCCGCAUGGAAAAAACUCCGGUGGUGUGAGAUGGACCCGCGUCUGAUUAGCCAGUUGGCGGGGUAACGGCCCACCAAAGCGACGAUCAGUAGCCGGCCUGAGAGGGUGAACGGCCACAUUGGGACUGAGACACGGCCCAAACUCCUACGGGAGGCAGCAGUGGGGAAUAUUGCACAAUGGGGGAAACCCUGAUGCAGCGACGCCGCGUGAGUGAAGAAGUAUUUCGGUAUGUAAAGCUCUAUCAGCAGGGAAGAAGUGACGGUACCUGAAUAAGAAGCCCCGGCUAACUACGUGCCAGCAGCCGCGGUAAUACGUAGGGGGCAAGCGUUAUCCGGAUUUACUGGGUGUAAAGGGAGCGUAGACGGCAAGGCAAGUCUGAAGUGAAAGCCCGGUGCUUAACGCCGGGACUGCUUUGGGAACUGUUUGGCUGGAGUGCCGGAGAGGUAAGCGGAAUUCCUAGUGUAGCGGUGAAAUGCGUAGAUAUUAGGAAGAACACCAGUGGCGAAGGCGGCUUACUGGACGGUAACUGACGUUGAGGCU
RNAcentral lists this ribosomal RNA (633 nucleotides) under uncultured bacterium. RNAcentral describes it as "bacterial SSU rRNA". It matches the Rfam family "Bacterial small subunit ribosomal RNA", at positions 84 to 753 of the family's 1533-position model. The record is from RNAcentral.